RNAcentral lists this ribosomal RNA (404 nucleotides) under Actinomycetes bacterium. Its description in RNAcentral is "Actinobacteria bacterium partial 16S ribosomal RNA". It matches the Rfam family "Bacterial small subunit ribosomal RNA", at positions 355 to 776 of the family's 1533-position model. The record is from RNAcentral. Lineage: Bacteria; Bacillati; Actinomycetota; Actinomycetes.
UGGGGAAUAUUGGACAAUGGGCGCAAGCAUGAUCCAGCCAUGCCGCGUGAGUGAUGAAGGCCCUAGGGUUGUAAAGCUCUUUCACCGGUGAAGAUAAUGACGGUAACCGGAGAAGAAGCCCCGGCUAACUUCGUGCCAGCAGCCGCGGUAAUACGAAGGGGGCUAGCGUUGUUCGGAUUUACUGGGCGUAAAGCGCACGUAGGCGGACUAUUAAGUCAGGGGUGAAAUCCCGGGGCUCAACCCCGGAACUGCCUUUGAUACUGGUAGUCUUGAGUUCGAGGGAGGUGAGUGGAAUUCCGAGUGUAGAAGUGAAAUUCGUAGAUAUUCGGAGGAACACCAGUGGCGAAGGCGGCUCACUUGCUCGAUACUGACGCUGAGGUGCGAAAGCGUGGGGAGCAAACAGG